AUGCAGUGGCAGUUGAAGGGCUUCUCAGUUCUGACCUCGGGACACACAUGGACCCUUCCUUCGGGACUGCCUGUGCCAUAUCCACUGGCUUGGUCAUCUGGGUUCAUGGUUCACACCCACCUUUCCAGGCUGCGGUUCCCUCCUGUUCCAACAGAUCCAACAGAAGGACCCCGUAGUGGAGGAGUGAGGGUGUACCUGGACACCAGCGCAAGAUGGGAGAGGCCCUUGAUUUCCCUGACACCAGUUUGGAGCAGAGGGCCUGGCAGGAAAGUUUUGUUUUCGCGCAGGGCCACAGAGCAAGACAUCCUACACAGCCUAAGGAUUGGCUGAAGAUGUACCCCUGAGAGCCUUUUCCUUUAAGUGCGGUCAUGUGCACCAAAAGGAACUGAAGGACUUCCAAAAAGAUGCUCUCGCUACAUUGCAUCUCUGCCACAGUCUUCCCGUCUCUCUCUCUCUCUAGAACAGCUGCUUGGAAGGAGCAAGCUGCCCACAGUAUGUUCAGUCACAUGGAGAGACACUUCUCUGUAUUGGAGCCAACAUUUACGGAGAAAGAAGAGCUCAGCCUGGGUCAUGUUCCCACUGGAUCACUGCACUAGCAUGGUACUUUGGGCUCUAGUUAUGUGGGUGGAGCAGGGAUGGGCACAGUGGGAUUGCUUCAGAAUUCUACUGCAAGACUAAAACAUAGAUAGUUCAAGGAAAUAUUGAGGGAUUUAUGUAAAGUAAACUAGGUUUAGUUAAAAUUGACUUAUUUUGGACACAUGAAUCUGUUUAGUUUCUAAGAAAAGAUGAUGAGAAUGUAGGAUUAUCUUUGUCACAUUCAGAGUAAUAAGAAAGAUACUAACACUAACUUUAAGAAUUUGGAACCAGUUUUCACUAAAAUAUUCUUAUAUUUGAAAUGCCUAAAAAGUUGUUUUGUAACUUUUUAUUUUGAAAUAAUUAUAGGUUACCAGGAAGUUGCAAAAAUGGGAAAGAGGGGUUGUGUGCACCUGUUACCCAGUUUUUCCCGAUGGAUACAUUUGAUAUGGUUUGGAUGUUUGUCCUUUCCAAAUCUCAUGUUGAAAUGUGACUCCCAAUGUUGGAGGUGGGGCAUAAUGGGAGGUGACUGAAUCAUGGGAGUCAAUCUCUUGUGAAUGGCUUAGCACUAUCCCCUUGGUGAUAAGUGAGUUCUUGCUCAAGUAGUUCAUGUGAGAUCCGGUUGUUUAAAAGAGUCCAGAAUCUCCCCCUUCUCUCUCUCUUGCUCCAUUUUGCCUUGUGUCACUGGCUCCUCAUCACCUUCUGGUAUGAUUGUGAAUUUCCUGAGGCAUCACUAAAGAGCACAUGUUGGCACCAUGCUUUACAUCCUGCAGAGCCAUGAGUCAAAAUAAAGUUUUUUUUCCUUAUAAAUUGCCCAGCCUCUGGUAUGCCUUUAGAGCAGUGGUCCCCAUCCUUUUUGAAACCAGGGAUUGGUUUCAUGGAAAACAAGUUUUCCAUGGACUUAGGGUUGGGGGACAUUAGAUUUUCAUAAGGAACAUGUGACCUCAAUCCCUCGCCUGUGCAGUUAACAAUACGGUUUUUGCUCCUUAGAGAAUCUAAUGCUGCCCCUGAUCUGACAGGAGGUGGAACUCAAUCAGUAAUGCUCACUUACCUGCUGUUCACCUCCUGCUGUGCAGCCUGAUUCCUAAUAGGCCAUGGACCAGUACUGGGCUGGAGACCCCUGCUUUAGAGCAACACACAUGGACUAACACAGAGAACAGGUACUGAUAAUUGGGGCAUUGCUAUAAAGAUACCUGAAGGUGCAGAAGCAGCUUUGGAACUGAGUAACAGGCAGAGACUGGAAGAGUUUGGAGGACUCAGAAGAAGACAGGAAGAGGAGUGAAAAUUUGGAAGUUCUUGAAGACUGGUUAAAUGGUUGUGACCAAAAUCAUAGAAAUAUGGACAGUGAAGGCCAGACUGAUGAGGUCUCAGAUGGAAAUGAGGAAGUUAUUGGAAACUAGAGUAAAACUCACCUAUUUUAUGCCCUAGCAAAGAACUUGGCUGCAUUGUGUCCAAGCCCUAGGGAUCUGUGGAAGCUUGAAGUUAAGAGUAAUGACCUAGAGUAUCUGGUGGAAGAAAUUUCUAAGCAGCAAAACAUUCGAGAUGUGGUGUGGUUGCUUCUAACUGCCUAAAACCAGACAUGGGAGCAAAGAAGUUAAUGUAAAACUUUGAAUGUAAAAAUUUGAAAAAUUUGCAGCCUGGCCCUGUGGUAGAGAAAGUUUCCAAGCAGGCUCAUUAAAAGGGAGCCAAGUGCUAAUAUCCAAGACAAUAGAAAAAAGGCCUUGAAGGCAUUUCAGAAGACUUCAGGACCUCCCCUCCUAUCACAGGCCUAGAGGCCUAGAAGGAAAGAAUGGU
This is a long non-coding RNA of Macaca mulatta (Rhesus monkey), 2367 nucleotides long. The record is from Ensembl. Lineage: Eukaryota; Metazoa; Chordata; Mammalia; Primates; Cercopithecidae.